This is a non-coding RNA of Taeniopygia guttata (zebra finch), 787 nucleotides long. The record is from RefSeq and is a predicted model, not a curated record. Lineage: Eukaryota; Metazoa; Chordata; Aves; Passeriformes; Estrildidae.
UGGACUGCAUAGAUUCUAUUCUCCCUGGUUUUGUUUAAUGUUUAAAAUAGUUUGACAUUUUAGAAUAGAAGAUACUUCUUUGUUACAAGGGUUACUGAUUCCAUUAAACAGGUUUUAUAUAUUUAGAACUUAAACCACACAUACCAUGACUGUAGAAAAGUCAAGGAAUUUACAAAACCCUAAGCUAAAACAUUAGAAAGUUGUUUUGCAGUGCUGGACUGUUUUAAAUUUUCUUUCACUGUUUGAAGUACACUAUCUCCAUAUCAUUAAACACACAAGUUCAUUAAUAUGCUUAACCCUUUCCUGGGGGCCCUUUCAGCAACAAUUUGACAGACCCAAAGGUAAGCAUAGAAGGAGGUGAGGUGGGACUUACCUGGUGUAAUGGUGCAGCUGUCCUGGCUGCAAUCACUUAUUGAUUUAGAAGAUUAGGUCUAUUACUGGAAAUCAGAGUACAGCUGGAGACAUGCUGACCUACUACAGUAAGACGCAGUGUCCUAGUGAAUUUGGUUUCUUAAAAGCUCUUCUAAGUAGUGCUGUCCUCCCUUAGGAGUCAAACAUUUGACAAAGCACAGGAGUAACAAAAAUCUUAAGAAAGAACUGCAACUCUUGUAUAAUGUAAACAAAUUUCUUUAAAGCUGGAAAUUUUCAAGUUAGAAUGUUGUUACAAUCAAGACAUCACUAAAAUCCUUUUAGACUCUGUGCAUUUAAUACAGCUGAUUCUCUGGCAGUACACUAGAUGAACAGAAGCAAAUGGUCCUUUUCUUACCGUGUGGUGAAUAGAUGCAAA